RNAcentral lists this ribosomal RNA (501 nucleotides) under uncultured bacterium. Its description in RNAcentral is "partial 16S rRNA". The record is from RNAcentral.
GCACGGAGUUAGCCGGAGCUUACAAACAGUACCGUCAUCGUAAGAGAUAUUAACUCUUACUUAUUCUUCCCGUUCUUGCGAAGUUUACAUCCCGAAGGAUUUCAUCCUUCACGCGGCGUUGCUGGGUCAGGCUUUCGCCCAUUGCCCAAAAUUCCCGACUGCUGCCUCCCGUAGGAGUCUGACCCGUAUGUCAGUGUCAGUGUGGCCGACCGCCCUCUCAGGCCGGCUACAGAUCAUCGCCUUGGUAAGCCGUUACCUUACCAACUAGCUAAUCUGCCGCAGGCUCCUCUUCAGACGCGAGGUCUUGCGAUCCCCCGCUUUAACAACUGUCACCAUUAGGUGCCGCUGCAUUAUUCGGUAUUAGCCACCGUUUCCGGUGGUUAUUCCCAAUCCAAAGGUAGAUUACCUACGUGUUACUCACCCGUGCGCCACUCUACUCGCCCCCCGAAGGGGACUUUCGCGUUCGACUUGCAUGUCUGAGGCACGCCGCCAGCGUUGAUU